GAUGAACGCUGGCGGCGUGCCUAAUACAUGCAAGUCGAGCGAACAGAUGAGGAGCUUGCUCCUCUGACGUUAGCGGCGGACGGGUGAGUAACACGUGGAUAACCUACCUAUAAGACUGGGAUAACUUCGGGAAACCGGAGCUAUUACCGGAUAAUAUAUUGAACCGCAUGGUUCAAUAGUGAAUGACGGUUUUGCUGUCACUUAUAGAUGGAUCCGCGCCGCAUUAGCUAGUUGGUAAGGUAACGGCUUACCAAGGCAACGAUGCGUAGCCGACCUGAGAGGGUGAUCGGCCACACUGGAACUGAGACACGGUCCAGACUCCUACGGGAGGCAGCAGUAGGGAAUCUUCCGCAAUGGGCGAAAGCCUGACGGAGCAACGCCGCGUGAGUGAUGAAGGUCUUCGGAUCGUAAAACUCUGUUAUUAGGGAAGAACAAAUGUGUAAGUAACUAUGCACGUCUUGACGGUACCUAAUCAGAAAGCCACGGCUAACUACGUG
Molecule: ribosomal RNA, 497 nt
Filed under: uncultured bacterium
Lineage: Bacteria
Description: partial 16S ribosomal RNA
Rfam family: Bacterial small subunit ribosomal RNA
Source: RNAcentral